UAGGCUAUGUGUAUGUUUUUAUUAUUUUUAAAUUGUUAUUUUAACCCCAAGCCUACAAAUCUAAUUAGCAUAAUAAAGAAAUUACGAUUAAAAUCCGUGUUUAAGCCAAAGAUAUCAAUGUUUUUGCAUGGGCUGCGUCUCAAUCCACCACAUAUGCUGAUAUUGCCCGUCCGCAUCUGGGGUGAAAGGUGGCAGAGCUAGAGUGGUGUUUGUCAGACCAUGAGACAUCUGGGGUGAAAGGUGACAGAGCUAGAGCGGUGUUUGUCAGACCAUGAGACAUCUGGGGUGAAAGGUGACAGAGCCAGAGUGGUGUUUGUCAGACCAUGAGACAUCUGGGGUGAAAGGUGGCAGAGCCAGAGUGGUGUUUGUCAGACCAUGAGACAUCUGGGGUGAAAGGUGGCAGAGCCAGAGUGGUGUUUGUCAGACCAUGAGACAUCUGGGGUGAAAGGUGGCAGAGCCAGAGUGGUGUUUGUCAGACCAUGAGACAUCUGGGGUGAAAGGUGGCAGAGCCAGAGUGGUGUUUGUCAGACCAUGAGACAUCUGGGGUGAAAGGUGGCAGAGCUAGAGCGGUGUUUGUCAGACCAUGAGACAUCUGGGGUGAAAGGUGACAGAGCCAGAGUGGUGUUUGUCAGACCAUGAGACAUCUGGGGUGAAAGGUGGCAGAGCCAGAGUGGUGUUUGUCAGACCAUGAGACAUCUGGGGUGAAAGGUGGCAGAGCCAGAGUGGUGUUUGUCAGACCAUGAGACAUCUGGGGUGAAAGGUGGCAGAGCUAGAGCGGUGUUUGUCAGACCAUGAGACAUCUGGGGUGAAAGGUGACAGAGCCAGAGUGGUGUUUGUCAGACCAUGAGACAUCUGGGGUGAAAGGUGACAGAGCCAGAGCGGUGUUUGUCAGACCAUGAGACAUCUGGGGUGAAAGGUGGCAGAGCUAGAGCGGUGUAUGUCAGACCAUGAGACAUCCCAAAAAACAAUCUGAACGGUGUGGCCUACAAAGUAUCAUGUAGGCCUAUCCUUUUGUCCUGAUUUGGUCAUUGUCAGGUUUCUCCCGAGCUUUG
Long non-coding RNA from Oncorhynchus keta (chum salmon), 1052 nucleotides. RefSeq lists it as uncharacterized. The transcript is spliced from 3 exons. NCBI's taxonomy places the organism in Eukaryota, Metazoa, Chordata, Actinopteri, Salmoniformes, Salmonidae. The record is from RefSeq and is a predicted model, not a curated record.